This 1066-nucleotide ribosomal RNA is filed under the name uncultured Acidobacteriota bacterium. Its description in RNAcentral is "bacterial SSU rRNA". It matches the Rfam family "Bacterial small subunit ribosomal RNA", at positions 337 to 1396 of the family's 1533-position model. The record is from RNAcentral. Lineage: Bacteria; Pseudomonadati; Acidobacteriota.
UCCUACGGGAGGCAGCAGUGGGGAAUUGUUCGCAAUGGGCGCAAGCCUGACGACGCAACGCCGCGUGGAGGACGAAGAUCUUCGGGUCGUAAACUCCUGUCGAGUGGGAAGAAUGGUUCGGGGAUAAAUAUUCUCCGGAAUUGACGGUACCACUAAAGGAAGCCCCGGCUAACUCCGUGCCAGCAGCCGCGGUAAUACGGGGGGGGCAAGCGUUGUUCGGAAUUACUGGGCGUAAAGGGCUCGUAGGCGGCCAACUAAGUCCGACGUGAAAUCCCAAGGCUUAACCUUGGAACUGCGUCGGAUACUGGAUGGCUUGAAUUCGGGAAAGGGAUGCAGAAUUCCAGGUGUAGCGGUGAAAUACGUAGAUAUCUGGAGGAAUACCGGUGGCGAAGGCGGCAUCCUGGACCGACAUUGACGCUGAGGAGCGAAAGCUAGGGGAGCAAACGGGAUUAGAUACCCCGGUAGUCCUAGCCCUAAACGAUGAAUGCUUGGUGUAGCGGGUAUCGAUCCCUGCUGUGCCGAAGCUAACGCAUUAAGCAUUCCGCCUGGGGAGUACGGUCGCAAGGCUGAAACUCAAAGGAAUUGACGGGGGCCCGCACAAGCGGCGGAGCAUGUGGAUUAAUUCGAUGCAACGCGAAGAACCUUACCAAGGCUUGACAUACACCGGAAACAUCCAGAGAUGGGUGCCCCGCAAGUCGGUAUACAGGUGGUGCAUGGUCGUCGUCAGCUCGUGUCGUGAGAUGUUGGGUUAAGUCCCGCAACGAGCGCAACCCUCGUUCUAUGUUGCCAGCACGUAAUGGUGGGAACUCAUAGGAGACUGCCGGGGUCAACUCGGAGGAAGGUGGGGAUGACGUCAAAUCAUCAUGCCCCUUAUGUCUUGGGCUUCACGCAUGCUACAAUGGCCGGUACAAAGGGCUGCGAUACCGUAAGGUGGAGCGAAUCCCAAAAAGCCGGUCUCAGUUCGGAUUGAGGUCUGCAACUCGACCUCAUGAAGUCGGAGUCGCUAGUAAUCGCAGAUCAGCAACGCUGCGGUGAAUACGUUCCCGGGCCUUGUACACACCGCCAU